Molecule: ribosomal RNA, 506 nt
Filed under: uncultured bacterium
Lineage: Bacteria
Description: partial 16S ribosomal RNA
Rfam family: Bacterial small subunit ribosomal RNA
Source: RNAcentral
GAUGAACGCUAGCUACAGGCUUAACACAUGCAAGUCGAGGGGUAACGAGAGGGAAGCUUGCUUUCCUUGUCGACGACCGGCGGAUGGGUGGGUAACGCGUAUCCAACCUGCCCUUCAGUAAGGGAUAGCCUUUCGAAAGAAAGAAUAAUACCUUAUGUGAUCGUCUGAUGACAUCAGACGACGAUGAAAGAUUUAUCGCUGAAGGAUGGGGAUGCGUCCCAUUAGGCAGUAGGCGGGGUAACGGCCCACCUAACCUACGAUGGGUAGGGGUUCUGAGAGGAAGGUCCCCCACAUUGGAACUGGGACACGGUCCAAACUCCUACGGGAGGCAGCAGUGAGGAAUAUUGGUCAAUGGCCGUAAGGCUGAACCAGCCAAGUAGCGUGCAGGAUGACGGCCCUAUGGGUUGUAAACUGCUUUUAAACGGGGAUAAAGUGAGUCACGUGUGGUUUAUUGCAGAUACCGUUUGAAUAAGGACCGGCUAAUUCCGUGCCAGCCGCCGCCGUAA